RNAcentral lists this ribosomal RNA (433 nucleotides) under uncultured bacterium. Its description in RNAcentral is "partial 16S ribosomal RNA". It matches the Rfam family "Bacterial small subunit ribosomal RNA", at positions 29 to 507 of the family's 1533-position model. The record is from RNAcentral.
AACGAACGCUGGCGGCAUGCCUAACACAUGCAAGUCGAACGAGACCUUCGGGUCUAGUGGCGCUCGGGUGCGUAACGCGUGGGAACCUGCCCCUAUGUUCGGAAUAACUCCCCGAAAUGUGUGCUCAUCCCGGAUAAUGUCUUCCGACCAAAGAUUUAUCGCAUUUGAAUGGUCCCGCGCUGGAUUAGCUAGUUGGUAGGGUAAAAGCCUACCAAGGCGACGAUCCAUAGCUGGUCUGAGAGGAUGCUCGGCCAGACUGGGACUGAGACACGGCCCGGAGUUCAACGGGAGGGAGAAGUGGGGAGAAUUGGAAAAUGAGCGAGAGCCUGAUCCAGCAAUGACGCGUGGGUUAUGAAGGCCUUAGGAUUGUAAUGCUCUUUUACACGGGGUGAAAAUGACAGUACCGUGAGAAUAAGCUCCGGCUAACUCCGUG